RNAcentral lists this long non-coding RNA (7146 nucleotides) under Arachis ipaensis. Its description in RNAcentral is "long non-coding RNA (AIPA_LNC000397)". Lineage: Eukaryota; Viridiplantae; Streptophyta; Magnoliopsida; Fabales; Fabaceae. The record is from RNAcentral.
UCACAACCGUUUUUUUGGGUGACAUAGUCAAUAUAAAAAGUAGUUAUUUUUGCUAAAAUGAUGUUAUUUAAUUAGAUGCAUGACAGUGCAUCAAAAUUAAAUUUUUACAUACAUAUAUAUUGGUAAAUAAUGAAUUUUUCAUUUAAAUUAAAAAAAGGUUAAUAUUGAUAUGGUGCCAUGCCAUUAUUGACGGAGCAUGUUUUGUCUUCUUUGGACUUGGGAGGAUUUCAAGGGUGCAUCUUCAUUUCACUAAUUGGACUGCUUCCCAUUGCUUUACAAGGUGUAAGAUUCGCCAGUGGGACUCUGCCUCAUCUGCACUUUGCAGCAAUUAUUAUUUGCAUAAAAAUAAUGAUUGCUUCAACAAUUUUGUGUUGAAAUAUUGGCAUCAUAAUUUUGGUUAUUAACCUUGGAUGGCAAUUGAGCAUUGAUCUUACGGGUCCUAAAAUACAGGAUAGAUGAUGAUCUUGGUAUUUAUAAUUUGAACCCAAUAUUGAUUUCAUUAAUAUGGGCUUUUCUUUUGUUGUUUUUUUAAUUAUGUCACAACUUUAGCUACUAAUCUUUUGUAAGGAUUGAAAUUAUGUGCCUUAUAAUACAAGAAUGUAUUCAUAAUUUCAGCCCAAAUGUUAGAUUUAAUUAUGAUCGCCUUUUCUUUUGGUUUUUAAGUUAAGACACAGAGAUAUCACAAUUUUAGCUCUUGAUCUCGUUAAGGGGUUGAACUUAAUGGGCCUUAUAGGAUCUCAAUCCCCAAAUUUUGUUCGAGUAUAUAAUUGGUUUUUGUGUCUGGCCUUCCUUUUUGUUGUAUUUUGGUAUAUAGAAUUUAGGUUUAAAAUUUUUGUUCAAGCAUAGAUGCCACAAAAUUAGCAAUUGACAAAGAUCGAACCUGUGAGUCCCACUGUGCAAGCUUAAACUAUAAUUAUUAUUUCCGUACUCGACCCUAGCCAAGAUAUAAUAGCAUAUAAUUGUAAGAAUAGAAUCAGUUAUCAAAUCGAGCUCUAUUGAGUAGUCCAGUCCACUUUCACUCUAUACACAAUAGAAAUUACUUCUCAAGAAUUUUCUAGAGAAAAUUUUCUCUCCGUAUAGCCACCGUUCUUCAUCGCUCGUCUUACAUUGAACUCAAGCCAUGAGGGGCGGAUACGCCCGAGGAGGUCAUUCACGGUCUCACACACCAGACUUUCCGACCAGAAGAAAACAGGACCAAUCUAUUAGGAUUGGCAAGAAAGUGAGAACUGAAGAGGAAGGAUGAGCUUUCACUGGAACUGAAAACCCAUCUCUAAUCCCAAAGGAGGAGAAAUGGAUGAAGGAAAGUGUAGAUGUGGAAGAGGAGCAUACUGCUCUUAAGAGAUCCUUUAGUGACACCGUUCGAAAGGGAAGAACGCCAGUUAUAAUGGAGGAAGGAGCUGCUGAAAAAGAAAAAGAGGAAUGUGCCAAGCACAUGGAUGAGGUUCUGGGAGAUGCCAUCAAAGAAGUAGAGGGAGAACAAAAGAAGGGUGAAGGGAGUAAGAAAAAGGGUAGACCAGAAAUACGUGUGGAGAAAGUUGGAGGUAUCUUCAAUUUCUCAAUCAAUGAAGCAGCUAUGGAUAAGCUGAGAAGUCCAUGGUGGGAUACCUUAAUUGUAAAACUUCUUGGCAGACGCAUCUCCUUGAUGGCUUUAACUAGGAGACUAGAAGCUAUGUGGGGUAAAAUGGGAAGCAUUGAGGUGAUUGACUUAGGAAACGAGUUCUUUAUUGUGAAGUUUUAUUCACAAGAGGAUCUGGAUUUUGCUCUCACUGAAGGACCAUGGAAAAUAAUGGAUCACUACCUAUCUAUUCGGUUCUGGAGACCAGAUUUCAAUCCCCUGGAGGCAUCCAUUGAUCAGAUUGCAGCAUGGGUGAGACUCCCAGGACUAGCCAUUGAAUACUAUGAUGAAGAGAUGCUGAAAAGAAUAGGCAAUGUCAUAGGAAGGACUCAGAGUUGAUUAAGCAGAGGUAAAUUUGCUAGAUUAUGUGUGGAAUUGAAUUUAACAGAACCUCUUGUAGCUCAAUAUUCAAUCAAUGGAGUUAAAUAUAAGGUAGAGUACGAGGGAUUACACAAUAUUUGCUUUGAUUGUGGUAUGGUGGGGCAUGAAAAAAGUAACUGCCCAAAGAAGAGUGAAGAGGAAACCAGCAUUGCGGUGGUGGUAGAAGGGUCCAGCGGUGUUGAGGGACAGACAGUUAGCAGAACAGAUACAGGAGAAGAAAGAGAGGGUAAUUCUGGAAAAGAAAAUUUUGAAAGGGGAAAAAAAGUCUUGAAUGAGGAGAAUGAAGAGUAUGGACCUUGGAUGGUUGUCCAAAGGCCACGUGGCAAAAAGGGAGCAAAAAAGGAUAGUACAAGUAGUGGAGGUAUGGAGAAUGGCCCAAAGGAAAAUGCUGCUACAACAGGUACGAAAUUUGCUAUUUUACAAGAAAAGGAUGCUGACACAACAAUUGAGGAUCCCAACAGUAAUCAGAACAUUCCAAACAAUCAUGAACCUAAUACAGAUGCUCUUAAUGGAGCCCCGAAAAAUAAACCUUCCCAAUCCGUUAAAUCAAAUCGGAAUCAGUCUACCAAGACCCAAGAAAAUAACCCAAUUAGAAAUCAACAUGCCACCACAACAAGCCAAAACAAAGAAAAGGUCGUUAAGCCUGGAUCAACCAUUGGCCCCAAUAGAAUCCCAUCUAACCAUAACAAGCAAUUUACUACCCAAACCCAACUAGAAAAUCAGCUUCAAGACACCGUCUCUAAUCACCCACAAAAUUGGACAACUACUAUGCACCAUUCUCAAGAAGAGUCCCAACAGGGAACGUAUAUUCAAACAACCCCCCUAGAAGACUUUGAAAUGCAUGAACCAACUGAACCAGAACCACCGGACAUUAAUUCUAUUAGUGAGGAAGUCAUGAUUGAAGCUGUAAGGAUACACGAAGAGAGCAUUCUCAACCAACAACAUAAUGAAACAUUCACACAUGAGGAGGAAAACCUAGACAUGGAAGAAGAAACCUUUGAUAUAAAGGCUGGCCAAGGCAACAGAGACACCCUGAUGGGAGAGAACGAUCAAACCUCACAGUGAGGUCUUCUUAUCAUCUUUUUUCUUAUGAUUAUCCUUUCGUGGAAUUGUAGGGGGGCGGCAAGUAGAGGCUUUUGUCGCACCCUGAAGGAAAUUGUUAAACAGAAUAAGCCAGAUGUUGUGAUCCUUAUGGAGACCAGAUGUAGUGGAGAAACUGCCCAAAGGGUUAUCAGAAAUUUUGGGCUGCCUUUUUGUCACGUAGAAGAAGCUAAUGGAUUUAGUGGAGGAAUAUGGGUGCUUUGGCGAGACCCUGAUCUUAGAAUUACUAUUUUGAAAUCUAGAACACAGUAUGUACAUAUGGAAGUCAAGUUUAAUAAUAAAAGAAGUUGGAUUUUAACAGCCAUUUAUGCUAGUCCCCAAGAAAAUGUGCGAAGAUGUCUUUGGGAAGAGCUUUAUACUAUAGCUCAAGAUAUGAGGGAGGCAUGGCUCAUGGUGGGAGAUUUUAAUGAAAUUGCUAAUGCUUUAGAAAAGAAAGGAGGAGCUAGGGUGGAUCUGAAUGCUUGCAGGAAAUUUGAUUCUUGGAUACAUAGAUGUGGACUAAUUGAUCUUGGAUUUGCGGGAUCUAAAUACACGUGGCGUGGACCACAAUGGGAGGGGCUAGAAAGGGUUUUCAAAUAGACAGAGCCUUGGCUAAUGCAGAUUGGAGAGUUAGAUUUGCUGAGGCAAAGGUUGAAGUUCUCCCUAGAUCUAAUUCAGACCACCACCCAAUCAAGGUAACUCUCGAACCCCAACAUCCUUUAAGUAGAGAAAGACCUUUUCGUUUUGAAGCGAUGUGGCUAUUACAUCCAGAUUUCAAGAACUGUGUUAAUCAGAAUUGGAGAAAGCACCAGCCACUAUACCAAUCCCUUUCUGAAUUAAAGAAGGGUAUGAUAACCUGGAACAAAGAAAUAUUUGGCAAAGUCCAAGAGAAAAAGAAAGAAAUUAUGAGGAGGCUAGGGGGAAUUCAAAAAUCCCAUGACUAUGGGAAAAACCGUUUCCUUGAUGAGUUGGAAAGGAGUUUGAAAAGAGAGUUGGAUGAAGUUCUUGAUAAAGAAGAGGUACUCUGGAUGCAAAAAUCAAGAGACACUUGGAUUGUAGACGGUGAUCGAAACACGAGGUAUUUUCACACUAAGACUAUCAUAAGGCGGAGAAAAAACAAGAUCCUAAAACUGAGGGAUCCCAAUGGAGAAUGGAGAGAGAAUGAGGAAGAAUUGGUCAAUCUAGUGGUGGGAUUUUACAAAAAUCACUACACAGAAGAGGGUGAGGGACAAGCAACACAAGGGAUCCGAGGUAUCUAUCCAGAUACGGACUUCAACCAGAAAAGACGAAUGGGUGCGAAACCUAACAAAGAAGAGAUUAGAAAGGCAAUCUUCUCCAUAGGAUCUCUAAAAGCUCCAGGUAUUGAUGGUUUUACAGCCUUAUUUUAUAAGGAGAAUUGGCAGCUUGUAGAAGAAAGUGUCUAUGAAUUCGUGAGUAGAGUAUGGGAUGAUCCCAGUCAAAUCGAACAAUACAACCAAACUCUAAUUUCUCUCAUUCCAAAGAUCAAAGACCCUGAUUUUAUAACCCAGUUCAGGCCCAUUGCUCUCUGUAAUGUCAGUUAUAAGGGCAUAACAAAGAUUUUAGUUGAAAGGCUAAAAUCUAUUCUCACAGAGAAGAUUUCUCCUCACCAGUCUAGCUUUAUACCUGGGAGAAAAAUUCAAGACAAUAUUUUGAUUGCCAAAGAGAUUGCUCACAGGAUGAACAAAAUGAAAGGAAAGAAAGGAAUUAUGGCGAUUAAGUUCGACUUUGAAAAAGCCUAUGAUAGACUAAGAUGGAGCUACUUAAAAGAAUGCUUGGAAGACCUCAGAUUGCCUAUAAAUUUGAUAAGUUUGAUUAUGGCUUGUGUAACAACAGUGUCCUACAACAUUUUAUGGAAUGGUGGCAUGACAGAAAAUUUCUAUCCUUCUCGAGGUAUUAGACAAGGGGAUCCUAUCUCUCCUUAUCUUUUUGUUAUAGCCAUGGACAGAUUGUCACAAAUCAUUGAAAAUGAAGUAAGAGAACAAAGAUGGAGGCCUUUUAGACUGGUAAAGCAUCAGGGACUUACUAUUUCACACCUUUUAUUUGCGGAUGAUUUGCUGGUUUUUGCAGAAGCUGACCUGGACCAAAUCACCCAAGUGUGCAAAGUCAUGGAACUAUUCUACAAAAUUUCUGGCCUAAAGAUCAAUGAAGCCAAAACAGCCAUUGUCUUCUCUAAGAAUGUAACACAAAGUGAGAGAAGAGCUAUAGUGGACAGAAGCAAAUACCAAGAGAAACCUCAACUAGGAAAGUACCUAGGGGCUGUUAUAAACAACCAGAGGAAUGGGAAAGAAAAAUUUAAGGAUGUCAUCUCUAGGGUGCAAAACAAACUCAAUGGAUGGAAAGCCCAAUGUCUAACGUUAGCGGGAAGGGUAACUCUAGCAAGGUCAGCCAUUUCACCUAUGGCAAAUUAUGAAAUGCAGCACUCGAGGGUCCCAAAAGGAAUAUGUAGUGAAAUUCAUAAGCUUCAACGAAAAUUUAUAUGGGGAGAGAAAGAGGGACAAAGGAAGCUGCACCACAUCAAGUGGGAGACUUUAUGCCUGCCCAAGAAGUAGGGAGGACUUGGGUUUAAAGACCUCAACAUUAUGAAUGAUGCUUUUCUUUUGAAAAUCAUAUGGAGAUUAAUAAAUGAGAAAGAAGCUCUAUGUGUACAAUUUUUCCAACAGUCGUAUGGCAGAAGAAUGAGUCUAAAUGAGGAGAUGCGAACUAGAAAGACAGACUUGCCAUUGUGGAAAGAACUCACUAAAUUAUGGCAAGUAAUGCUGGAGAAUACCUCGUGGGUGAUAGGUAAUGGAGAAAGAGUGCGUUUUUGGAAGGAUAAUUGAGUAAAGGAAGUAGGAGUGUUGAACAAAAUAGUCACUAGAACUAUACCAGAAGAUGUAUUGGAAGCACCGAUUGCGCAUUAUGUAGAUAAAAAUGGAGACUGGAAACUUGAGGCUAUCAGGGAUACCCUCCCACACCAAAUUCUGGAUAGAAUCAGAGCAAUUCCAAGGCCUAAGAAAGAGAUGGGUGAUGAUUCAGUUUGCUGGAAUCAUAGCUCGAACGGAAUUUUUUCGGUUUCUACAGCGUAUAAGAUUCUGGCAAACAUCUCAGACGAGAAAAAAGAGAUUUGGGAAAAACUCUGGAGAUGGAAGGGACAAGAAAGGAUUAAAUUAUUUGGCUGGCAACUCGUUCAUAACAGGCUGUUCACAGCUAGUAGAAGAGCUAGAGUGUUGGGGACGGCAAAUAACUGUCACAUAUGCCAAGAUCAAGAAGAAACCACCCUCCAUGCACUAAGAGAUUGUCCUAAAGCUAUGAGCGUUUGGAUGCAGACGCUUAACCCAGGGGUAAUAACCCGCUUCUUUGGGUCUCAGUUCCAAGAGUGGCUAGAAUUGAAUAGCCACAAUAAUAUGGGUAAAUCUAACACCACAAAUUGGUUUGAGGAGUUUUUAAUAACCUGUUGGUGGAUAUGGAAGUGGAGGUGCACGGAGCUUUUUUCCCCUACAGUUUCGAGACCCUUGAACCCUACCCAGUUUAUAGCAGAAUUUAGUAGAAAUUUAAGAGAAGCUUUCAAAAAAAGAAAUAUAUGCAGGCCAAAUAAAACUACUACGAUCAUUCAAAUUAAAUGGAUGCCACCCCCACAAGGAUGGGUCAAACUCAAUACAGAUGGAGCCACAAACUUAAAUAACCAAAGAGCAGGUUGUGGAGGGGUCUUGAGGACUCACCUUGGAGAAUGGAUAGGAGGCUUUCUGGCCAAUGUCGGAACUUGCAGUGCAGAUCAAGCAGAACGAUGGGGAAUUUUUCAUGGUCUUACCAUGGCUUGGCAAAUGGGUAUGAGACGAGUUAUUGUCGAGACUGACCGAGAAGAAAGUGUUUCAGAGUUGGUGAAUGAAGGAAGAUCCUGCAGAGAAUAUAAUGCAAUAAUUAGAGAAAUUAAAGAAUUGAUAGGAAGACCAUGGGAAAUAAAGAUUCAGCAUGCUUAUAGAGAAUCGAAUCGAUGUGCUCAUAUCUUAGCUAAGCAAAGUCUUAAUGAACGGCAAGGUUUUCAAUUCCUAGAUCUCCCGCCUGAAUAUAUA